AGGACAAACGCUGGCGGCGUGUAUUAGGCAUGCAAGUCGCACGGCACUUCGGUGCAGUGGCGGACGGGUGAGUAACACGUGGGUAACCUGCCCUUCAGUGGGGAAUAACUCGCCGAAAGGCGAGCUAAUACCGCAUAUAACUCCCGGUGAGACUCCGGGCAGUAAAAGCAGUAAUGCGCUGGAGGAGGGGCCCGCGGCCGAUUAGCUUGUUGGUGGGGUAACGCCUACCAAGGCGACGAUCGGUAGCUGGU
Molecule: ribosomal RNA, 251 nt
Filed under: uncultured bacterium
Lineage: Bacteria
Description: partial small subunit ribosomal RNA
Rfam family: Bacterial small subunit ribosomal RNA
Source: RNAcentral